Molecule: ribosomal RNA, 669 nt
Filed under: uncultured archaeon
Lineage: Archaea
Description: bacterial SSU rRNA
Rfam family: Archaeal small subunit ribosomal RNA
Source: RNAcentral
GAGAUCCCACGAGGGUGUCCAGUGCCGGAGAGAAGUUGUUAAGUUUGCCGCCUGGGAAGUAUGGCCGCAAGGCUGAAACUUAAAGGAAUUGGCGGGGGAGCACCGCAACGGGAGGAGCGUGCGGUUUAAUUGGAUUCAACGCCGGAAAACUCACCGGGGGCGACUGUUACAUGAAGGCCAGUUUAAAGACUUUGCCUAAUUUUCAGAGAGGUGGUGCAUGGCCGUCGUCAGUUCGUACCGCAAGGCGUUCUGUUAAGUCAGAUAACGAACGAGACCCCUGUCCUUAUUUGCUAAGUUUUCCUUCGGGAGGACAGCACUAUAGGGAGACCGCCACUGCUAAAGUGGAGGAAGGAGGGGGCAACGGUAGGUCAGUAUGCCCCGAAUCCCCCGGGCCACACGCGCGCUACAAAGGAUAGGACAAUGGGCUCCGACACCGAAAGGUGAAGGCAAUCCCGAAACCUAUUCAUAGUUCGGAUUGAGGGCUGUAACCCGCCCUCAUGAAGCUGGAUUCCGUAGUAAUCGCGGGUCAACAUCCCGCGGUGAAUAUGACCCUGCUCCUUGCACACACCGCCCGUCAAACCAUCCGAGUUGGGUCUAAGUGAGGGCUUCUCUUUCUGGGGAGUUCGAACUUGGGUUCGGCAAGGAGGGUUAAGUCGUAACAAGGUAGCC